AAUCAUCAUUACAAACAUACAAAAUAACUAAAUCCCUAUACAUGCCAUAACUCAAACGUGUUUCGAUAUAAAAUACCGAGCAGUUGUAGUUGAUAGUGUGGACGAUCUCCGACUUCUUUAGGAUCCUUGAAGUAGCUUUGCAAUACUAUAAGAGAAAGAGAAAUAAAAGAAGUAAGCAUAAAGCUUAGUAAGUUUACUAGCAAAUAAAUAACAAUAUUUAACUUAAAUAAUUAAACUCAAUGUCUAUAUCUCUAGUUUACUCUUUAGUUAAUCUCAUACUAGUUCUCUUACUUGUUUACUUAGAAUACUUGUGUGCAUAACUUACUCAAUCCUUGCUGCAUCGUUGAACAUCAAUUGAUAGUAUAAUAAGUUCUUAAGUCUUACAACUUACCUGAGCUUGCCAUUUAUGCUUUAAACUGAACUUUCAUGAACAUGAUUCGUUUACAAGCCCGUUGAGCUACAUUGGAAUAAUAAGGAUACUCGGGUCUCUUCUGAUAAUAACAUGCCAAAGCCAUGUCCCAGACAUGGUCUUACAUGGGAUGUUCUCGUGAUGGUGCCCAUGCCAUGUCCCAGACAUGGUCUUAUAGGGGACCUCUCAUCUCGGUGCCAACGCCAUGUCCCAGACAUGGUCUUACAUGGGACCUCUCGUCUCGGUGCCCAUGCCAUGUCCCAGACAUGGUCUUACAGGGGACCUCUCAUGAUCUUAAGGAUGCCAAUGCCAUGUCCCAGACAUGGUCUUACAUGGGAUCUCUUUACCCAAAUGUCAUGACAUUCGUAUCCAGUACCAUCCUUAUGUAUCAACGGGACUUUUAAAUUUUAAUUCUCUAUCAUUUCAUGCUUGGAUCAUCAUCAAAUAAAUUCAUAAAAUAAAUUCAUAAUUGCUGGAAAUUAACAGUAUUAAUAAUAAAUAUUGAAAUAUUGCAUUUAUUUACCGUAAACUUACCUCGGUACCAAUUAUAGCCAAAUUCACCAACUUAGUCUUCAACUUUAUUCUUCCCUUUGUCUAACCUCGAGUUUCGUACUUCUUGAUCUAAAAUAGUAAAUUUAACUUAUUUAAUAAUCACAUUCAUCAAAACAGCCCUCGACUCUAACUUUUUCAAAAUUACAAUUUUGCCCCUAAACUUUUACAUAAUUACAUUUUUGCCCCAAGGCUCGGAAAUUAAACUUCAUCUCUUAUUCUUAUGUUUUAUAACAUUCUGAACAUUUUUCCCUUCUAUGGCAACAUCAAAUUCCCACUCUAACAUGUACUUAUGAACAUUAGGUAUUUUUACCGAUUAUGUCGUUUUACUCGUUUUCACUUAAAAUCGCUUAGCAAAAGUUGUUUAACAUAAUUUCUAGCUGCAUAUUCUUUCAUAAAACAUCAAAAUAAACACUUUUCACCUAUGGGUAUUUUUCCAAAUAUAAACCCUAGGUUAAAUUAUUGCUAGAAUAAGCUAAAUUAAGCUACCGGGAUCUCAAAAACGUAAAGAACAUUAAAAACGGGGCUUGGGAUCACUUACUAUGGAGCUUGGAAGCUUGAAAACCCUAACUAUGGCUUCCCCCCUUGCUGAUUUCGUUCAUAUGAAGAAGAUGAUGAUUUUUGCCAUCUUUUUCCCUUUUAAUUCAUUUUAAUUACUAGAUUACCAAAUUGCCCAUAACUUAAAAAUUUUCUAUUUCACUUAUCUCAUGUCCAUUUUUGUCUACCAAGUUACCAAUGGUAUAAUUACCAUAUAAGGACCUCCAAUUUAAAGUUUCAUAACAAUUGGACACCUCUAACAUGUAGAACUCAACUUUUUCACUUUUUACAAUUUAGUCCUUUUGACUAAAUUGAGUGCCCAAACGUCGAAAUUUUCGAACGAAAUUUUCAAAAAAUCAUUUUGUGAAAUUGUAGACCAUAAAAAUAUAAGAAAAAUAAAAUUUUUCUCAUCGGAUUUGUGGUUCCGAAACCACUGUUUCGAUAACCUCAAAUUUGGGCCAUUACAACUCUCCCCCCCUUUUUAGGAUUUUCGUCCUCGAAAAUCUUACCAGUAAAGAGAUUCGGGUAUUGCUUCCUCAUUGUCUCUUCCGGUUCCCAUGUUGCUUCCUCAAUCCCAUGCUUUUGCCAUAGCACUUUCACCAGAUUUACCUUUUUGUUUUUAAGCUCCUUUGUUUCUCGUGCUAAUACUUUAAUCGGUUCUUCAUUAUAAGUCAUAUCCGGCUGAAUUUCUACUUCUGUUGGAGUAAUAACAUGUGAAGGAUCUGAUCGAUACCGUCGUAGCAUAGAUACAUGAAAUACAUUAUGAAUUUUGUCGAGUUCCGGUGGUAAAGCCAAUCGGUAAGCAACUGGUCCAAUUCUUUCUAUAAUCUCAUAUGGUCCGACAAAUCUUGGACUCAAUUUACCCUUUCGACCGAACCGGAGAACUUUCUUCCAAGGAGACACUUUUAAGAAUACUUUAUCACCCACCUAAAAUUCAAUCUCCCUUCGUUUAAGAUCGGCGUAUGACUUUUGACGAUCGGAAGCUGCUUUUAAACUAUCCCGAAUCAGUCUUACUUUUUCUUCUGUUUCCCGAAUCAAAUCAACCCCGUGUAUCUUCUUUUCACUGAGCUCUGUCCAAUAUAAUGGUGUUCUACAUUUUCUAUCAUACAAAGCUUCAUACGGAGCCAUUUUAAUACUGGACUGAUAACUGUUAUUAUAAGCAAAUUCAAUCAAAGGUAGAUACCUUUCCCAAUUACCUUGAAACUCUAAUGCACAACAUCGGAGCAUAUCUUCCAAUACCUGAAUUACACGCUCAGAUUGGCCAUCUGUCUGAGGAUGAAAUGCAGUACUGAAAUACAACUGAGUACCCAAAGCUUCUUGCAAUUUGUUCCAGAAACGAAACGUAAAUCGGGGAUCUCUGUCUGAUAUAAUGGAGACAGGCACUCCAUGUAGUCUAACAAUCUCAGAUAUAUACAAUCCAGCCAAUUUAUCUAAAGAAUAAUCCAUACUUACUGGGAUAAAGUGCGCGGACUUUGUCAAUCGGUCGACAAUUACCCAAAUGGCAUCUUUCUUCCUCGGAGAUAACGGUAACCCAGAUACAAAAUCCAUAGUGAUUCUUUCCCAUUUCCAUUCCGGUAUAGUGAUUGGCUGAAGCAACCCCGAAGGUACCUGAUGUUCAGCCUUAACCUGCUGACAUACUAAACAUCUUCAUACAAACUCAGAGAUAUCACGUUUCAUACCUGGCCACCAAUACAUCUUUUUCAAGUCAUCAUACAUUUUAUUACCUCCCGGAUGUACGGAUAUAAUACCACUGUGUGCUUCGUGUAAAAUCUUCUGUACAAGUUCUGAAUUCUUCGGUACACAUACUCUGCCUCUGAAUAAUAAACAACCAUCAGUUCCAAUCUGAAAUUCUGAAUCAUUACCUGACUCACAAUGCACCCGUUUAGCCUGUAAUUUCUCAUCAUUCCUCUGAGCUUCACAUAUUUGUUGACGAAAUGUCGAUUUAGCUCUCAAUUCAGCUAUGAUUGAACCAUCAUUAGACAGUGACAACCGGGUAUUCAUAGCUCGUAAAGCAAAUAGAGAUUUUCGGCUCAAAGCAUCAGCUACCACGUUAGCCUUACCCGGAUGGUAAUCAAUAACCAAAUCAUAAUCCUUUAUCAAUUCAAGCCACCUGCGUUGUCUCAAAUUCAAAUCUUUCUGUGUCAUCAAAUAUUUCAAGCUUUUGUGAUCAGUAUAAAUAUGACACUUUUCACCAUACAAAUAAUGCCGCCAUAUUUUUAAUGCAAAUACAAUAGCAGCUAACUCGAGAUCAUGUACCGGGUAGUUUCUUUCAUGUGGCUUAAGUUGUCUUGAAGCAUAGGCUAUUACUUUAUCUUCUUGCAUCAAGACACAACCCAAACCAUUUAAUGAUGCAUCACUAUAAAUAAUAAAUUCCUUACCCGAUUCAGGCUGUACCAACACAGGUGCUUUCGUUAACAACUCCUUCAAUCGGUCGAAACUUUGCUGGCAUUUUUCUGUCCAUUCAAAUUUAACAUCUUUCUGUAAUAAACGGGUCAUUGGAGAAGCUAUCAUAGAAAACCCUUGUACAAAUCUCCGAUAAUAACCAGCUAAACCCAAGAAACUUCUAACUUCAGAUACAUUCUUCGGUGGACUCCAAUUGACAAUAGCUGAAAUUUUACUUGGAUCUACCCUGAUGCCUUCUGCGGAUACAAUAUGUCCGAGAAAACCUACCUCUCGAAGCCAAAAUUCACAUUUACUGAAUUUAGCAUAAAGUUUCUUUUCACGCAGAAUUUGCAACACUAUUUUCAAAUGUUCUGCAUGCUCAGUUUCAUCCCGAGAAUAAACUAAAAUGUCAUCAAUAAAAACUACUACAAACCUAUCUAGAUACGGUCUGAAUAUCCGGUUCAUCAAAUCCAUGAAUACUGCAGGUGCAUUAGUCAACCCAAACGGCAUAACCAGAAACUCAUAAUGCCCAUACCUGGUUCUGAAAGCUGUCUUUGGCACAUCUGGCUCUUUUACCCGUAACUGAUAAUAACCCGAUCGGAGAUCAAUCUUUGAAAAUACUGUGGCACCUUUCAGUUGAUCAAAUAAGUCAUCAAUUCGAGGCAAUGGGUACUUAUUCUUUAUAGUUACCUUAUUAAGCUGCCGAUAGUCAAUACACAAUCUCAAAGACCCGUCUUUCUUUUUCACAAACAGAAUUGGAGCACCCCAAGGUGAAUGACUCGGACGAACAAAACCUCUGUCAACAAGUUCCUGUAACUGUGCCUUUAACUCUUUUAAUUCUGUAGGAGCCAUACGAUACGGAGCUAUGGAAAUUGGGGCAGUUCCCGAAAUCAGAUCUAUAGAAAAUUCCACUUCUCUUUCUGGUGGCAACCCUGGUAACUCCUUUGGAAAUACAUCAGAAAAUUCACAUACAACUGGCACUACCUGUAUCUUUGACUCAGAUACCUUAGUAUCCAACACAUACGCCAAAUAAACAUCAUACCCUUUUCUAACACACCUCUGAGCUGUCAUAACUGAAAUCAUAUCGGAUAAUCCCUUUGUCUGAUUAGAUUUAACCCAAAGUAAUUCUCCAUUCUGGCAUUUUAACACAACAUAUUUUUGUCUACAGUUUACUACUGCAUCAUGCUGAGUUAACCAAUCCAUGCCCAAUAUCACAUCAAACUCAUCAAAAGGCAAUAACAUUAAGUCAACCGGGAAACAAAUACCUUUUACCAUCAGUGGAUAAUUUUUACAAACUUUAUCCACUAUCACAAACUGGCCCAGGGGGUUCGAGACUUUAACCAUAAAUUCAGUAGGUUCAACAGACAAAUUUUUAACAAAUACUAAUUUUGUGCAUAUAUAUGAAUGUGUAGAGCCAGGAUCAAUUAAUGCAAUAACAGUAGUAUCAUAGAGAGAAAAUGUACCCGCAAUUACAUUAGGAGAGGACGCCUCUUCACGAGCUCGAAUAGCAUAUGAUCUUGCAGGUGCUCUAACAUCUGAUCUAACCGCUGAAUCUUUGAAUGCACCCCUAUUACUUGCCCCCACUCCUGGGUUUCUCUGCGAUCUACCUCUGGUAGGAGCAUUACCUGAUCUCGCACUCGUUAUUUCUUCUCUUUUAGUUGUUUCAGGACAAUCCCGAAUAAAGUGAUCGGAUGCUCCACAUCUGAAACAAACAUUUUCACCUGCUCUACACUCUCCGGGGUGGCGUCUCCCACAUUGAGGACAUUCCGGUCUAGGAGGUCGAGUACUGCCAGUACUUGCAACUGUAGUGGUUUGAGCUCUAAAACCCUCGAAUCUUCUACUUCUGCUUCGGCCAGAAUGUAUAUGUGGAAAAUGUGAUCCGCUAGAGAGCUCCCUAGGCCUCUUAGAUGUAGACUGAAAUGAUUUACUCAUUUGCCUCUUCUUUGUAUCCUGCGCUCCAGCUUCAGCUUUGCUCUUCUCUUUUUCUUUUAACAAGUCUUCUACUUUACAAGCUCUUUCUACCAGAACAACAAACUCUCUGAUUUCCAAUACACCCACUGAUAGUCGGAUGUCAUCAUUAAGCCCAUCUUCAAAUCUCUUGUACAUGUUGGCUUCGGUGGAUACAAAUUCCCGAGCAUACUUACUAAGUCUGACAAAUUCGCGUUCAUAUUCAGUCACGGACAUCUUACCUUGUUUUAGCUCAAGAAACUCCUUCCUUUUCUGCUCUGUAAAUCUCUGGCUGAUGUACUUCUUUCGAAACUCCUCCUGAAAGAAAUCCCAAGUAACCCUCUCACUCGGUACGAUAGACACGAGAGUCUUCCACCAAUGAUAAGCGGAAUCUCUGAGAAGUGAGACCACACACUUCAUACAUUCUUCCGGUGUACAAGAUAAUUCUUCAAAAACCCUGAUGGUAUUCUCAAGCCAGAAUUCUGCUUUUUCUGCAUCGUCAUCUUUGGUAGCCCGAAAUUCUUCAGCCUCUUGCUUCCUAAUCUUAUCAACAGGUGGUCUCUCCCUGAUAAAUAUACCUGCAGCUGGGGAAGCUACAUGGGGAACCUGUGAAUCUUGAGGGGGUGGAGGUCUUACAGCCGGAUUCGUACGAACGAACUCGGCAAACCAAUCAGUCAUGGCUUGGAAGAAGGCUUCUCUAGCUCCUCCUCCCUGUCUAUCUGAUGUAGGUCUUUCACUAACAUUAACAUCUAAUGGCACCGUCCCUUCUGCGGGAAUAGGCACAUUACUCUCUACUUCAUCUGUACUAGCUCGUUCAGGAUCCAUAACUAUAAAAGAAAACAUUUUAAAAUCGUCAGGAGUCGUCACACUAUCAAAAUAUAUAAGUAUGGCAUGUAUAGGUAGACUCUUAUUCUUACUGAGUAUUUCCGAGAACCGACUAAACCUGCUCUGAUACUAAUAAAAUGUAACACCCCUUACCCGAGACCGUUUCCAGAGUCGAGCACGAGGCAUUACUUAGCAUAUCUUACCAAUUCGGAGCAUAAAAACUAGGUUUGAAAAUUUAUUUCAUUAUUCGCAGCAAAUCUGUCCAAUCGCGCAGCAGUUACUAAAUUAAUUAUAACUUGAGCUACAGAACUCUAAAUUUAAUUCCGUAAAUUUUCCCUGAAACUAGACUCAUAUAUAUACUCAUCAUAAAAUUUUUAGAAUUUUUUGUUCAGCAAAUUAGUACAGUUUAUUAGUUAAAGUAUCCCCUGUUUCACCACCUGACUGCCCUGACCUCUAGUCACUAAAAAUAAGUUUUCUCACUGUAGGAUUUUCAUAUGAAGUUCUUACUUGUUUCUACAGAAAAUAGACUCAUUAAGAAAUCUAAGCAUGUAAAUUUCAACUCAUAACCAUUUUUGUACAAUUUGUAAUUAUUUUCUAAACUCAGAACAGGGGACUCCAAAAACAGUUCUGACCCUAUCUUACUAAAAUUCACAUAUCUUAAAAUAUAAAUUUCCUUUUUCUACACCGUUAUUUUUUCAUGAAAAUAGACUCAACAAGAUUUAAUUCCAUAUAUCAUUCACCCUCUAAUUCAUUUUAUACUAUCUUGGGUGAUUUUUCAAAUUCACGUCACUGUGCUGCCUGAAUUCUGUUUCUUUGCAAAAUUUUAUCCUUUCAUGAUUUCCAUGCAUAAUUUAUCACCUAAUCUUUCAUAACAACAAACACCUUCAUCCUUAAUCAUUUUAAUAACCAUACAUCAUCAAAUACUUACACAUCACUCAUUAGCAAAAUCAUCAUUACAAACAUACAAAAUAACUAAAUCCCUAUACAUGCCAUAACUCAAACGUGUUUCGAUAUAAAAUACCGAGCAGUUGUAGUUGAUAGUGUGGACGAUCUCCGACUUCUUUAGGAUCCUUGAAGUAGCUUUGCAAUACUAUAAGAGAAAGAGAAAUAAAAGAAGUAAGCAUAAAGCUUAGUAAGUUUACUAGCAAAUAAAUAACAAUAUUUAACUUAAAUAAUUAAACUCAAUGUCUAUAUCUCUAGUUUACUCUUUAGUUAAUCUCAUACUAGUUCUCUUACUUGUUUACUUAGAAUACUUGUGUGCAUAACUUACUCAAUCCUUGCUGCAUCGUUGAACAUCAAUUGAUAGUAUAAUAAGUUCUUAAGUCUUACAACUUACCUGAGCUUGCCAUUUAUGCUUUAAACUGAACUUUCAUGAACAUGAUUCGUUUACAAGCCCGUUGAGCUACAUUGGAAUAAUAAGGAUACUUGGGUCUCUUCUGAUAAUAACAUGCCAAAGCCAUGUCCCAGACAUGGUCUUACAUGGGAUGUUCUCGUGAUGGUGCCCAUUCCAUGUCUCAGACAUGGUCUUAUAGGGGACCUCUCAUCUCGGUGCCAACGCC
Molecule: long non-coding RNA, 8208 nt
Filed under: Gossypium barbadense (sea-island cotton)
Lineage: Eukaryota; Viridiplantae; Streptophyta; Magnoliopsida; Malvales; Malvaceae
Description: long non-coding RNA (GBAR_LNC008557)
Source: RNAcentral